RNAcentral lists this ribosomal RNA (1386 nucleotides) under Staphylococcus haemolyticus. RNAcentral's name for it is "bacterial LSU rRNA". The record is from RNAcentral. Lineage: Bacteria; Bacillati; Bacillota; Bacilli; Caryophanales; Staphylococcaceae.
CGUGAUGACGAGGCACUACGGUGCUGAAGUGAUAAAUGCCCUGCUUCCAGGAAAAGCCUCUAAGCAUCAGGUAACACGAAAUCGUACCCCAAACCGACACAGGUGGUCAGGUAGAGAAUACCAAGGCGCUUGAGAGAACUCGGGUGAAGGAACUAGGCAAAAUGGUGCCGUAACUUCGGGAGAAGGCACGCUGAUAUGUAGGUGAAGUCCCUGCGGACGGAGCUGAAAUCAGUCGAAGAUACCAGCUGGCUGCAACUGUUUAUUAAAAACACAGCACUGUGCAAACACGAAAGUGGACGUAUACGGUGUGACGCCUGCCCGGUGCCGGAAGGUUAAUUGAUGGGGUUAGCGGCAACGCGAAGCUCUUGAUCGAAGCCCCGGUAAACGGCGGCCGUAACUAUAACGGUCCUAAGGUAGCGAAAUUCCUUGUCGGGUAAGUUCCGACCUGCACGAAUGGCGUAAUGAUGGCCAGGCUGUCUCCACCCGAGACUCAGUGAAAUUGAACUCGCUGUGAAGAUGCAGUGUACCCGCGGCAAGACGGAAAGACCCCGUGAACCUUUACUAUAGCUUGACACUGAACACUGGUCCUUGAUGUGUAGGAUAGGUGGGAGGCUUUGAAGCGUGGACGCCAGUCUGCGUGGAGCCGUCCUUGAAAUACCACCCUUUAAUGGCUGGUGUUCUAACGURGACCCGURAUCCGGGUUGCGGACAGUGUCUGGUGGGUAGUUUGACUGGGGCGGUCUCCUCCCAAAGAGUAACGGAGGAGCACGAAGGUUAGCUAAUCCUGGUCGGACAUCAGGAGGUUAGUGCAAUGGCAUAAGCUAGCUUGACUGCGAGAGUGACGGCUCGAGCAGGUGCGAAAGCAGGUCAUAGUGAUCCGGUGGUUCUGAAUGGAAGGGCCAUCGCUCAACGGAUAAAAGGUACUCCGGGGAUAACAGGCUGAUACCGCCCAAGAGUUCAUAUCGACGGCGGUGUUUGGCACCUCGAUGUCGGCUCAUCACAUCCUGGGGCUGAAGUAGGUCCCAAGGGUAUGGCUGUUCGCCAUUUAAAGUGGUACGCGAGCUGGGUUUAGAACGUCGUGAGACAGUUCGGUCCCUAUCUGCCGUGGGCGCUGGAGAAUUGAGGGGGGCUGCUCCUAGUACGAGAGGACCGGAGUGGACGCAUCACUGGUGUUCGGGUUGUCAUGCCAAUGGCACUGCCCGGUAGCUAAAUGCGGAAGAGAUAAGUGCUGAAAGCAUCUAAGCACGAAACUUGCCCCGAGAUGAGUUCUCCCUGAGACUWUAAGUCUCCUGAAGGAACGUURAAGACKAYGACGUUGAUAGGCCGGGUGUGUAAGCGCAGCGAUGCGUUGAGCUAACCGGUACUAAUGAACCGUGAGGCUUAACC